This 253-nucleotide ribosomal RNA is filed under the name uncultured bacterium. RNAcentral describes it as "partial 16S ribosomal RNA". It matches the Rfam family "Bacterial small subunit ribosomal RNA", at positions 524 to 776 of the family's 1533-position model. The record is from RNAcentral.
UACGUAGGGGGCAAGCGUUGUCCGGAUUUAUUGGGCGUAAAGAGCGUGUAGGCGGCUUUACAGGUCCGUUGUGAAAACUCGAGGCUCAACCUCGAGACGCCGGUGGAAACCGUAAAGCUAGAGUCCGGAAGAGGAGAGUGGAAUUCCUGGUGUAGCGGUGAAAUGCGCAGAUAUCAGGAAGAACACCCGUGGCGAAGGCGGCUCUCUGGGACGGUACUGACGCUGAGACGCGAAAGCGUGGGUAGCAAACAGG